GAUGAACGCUGGCGGCGUGCUUAACACAUGCAAGUCGAACGGAAAGGCUCCUGCUUGCAGGGGUACUCGAGUGGCGAACGGGUGAGUAACACGUGGGUGAUCUGCCCUGCCCUUCGGGAUAAGCCUGGGAAACUGGGUCUAAUACCGGAUAGGACCACAUUUUGGAUGGUGUGGUGGAAAGUUUUUCGGUGUGGGAUGAGCUCGCGGCCUAUCAGCUUGUUGGUGGGGUAAUGGCCUACCAAGGCGUCGACGGGUAGCCGGCCUGAGAGGGUGUACGGCCACAUUGGGACUGAGAUACGGCCCAGACUCCUACGGGAGGCAGCAGUGGGGAAUAUUGCACAAUGGGCGCAAGCCUGAUGCAGCGACGCCGCGUGGGGGAUGACGGCCUUCGGGUUGUAAACUCCUUUCGCUAGGGACGAAGCGCAAGUGACGGUACCUGGAGAAGAAGCACCGGCUAACUACGUG
This 465-nucleotide ribosomal RNA is filed under the name uncultured bacterium. Its description in RNAcentral is "partial 16S ribosomal RNA". It matches the Rfam family "Bacterial small subunit ribosomal RNA", at positions 28 to 507 of the family's 1533-position model. The record is from RNAcentral.